CGCGUAGGUGGUAGUGUAAGUCUGGGGUGGAAUCCCAGGGCUUAACCCUGGAACUGCCUUGGAAACUGCAUUACUUGAGUCAGUGAGGGGAGGGUAGAAUUCCUGGUGUAGCGGUGAAAUGCGUAGGUAUCAGGAGGAAGGCCUGUGGCGAAGGCGGCCCUCUGGCGCUGAACUGACACUGAGGCGCGAAAGCGUGGGGAGCAAACAGGAUUAGAUACCCUGGUAGUCCACGCCCUAAACGGUGGGCACUAGGUGUAGGGCUCGUAAGGGUUCUGUGCCGAAGGGAAACCAUUAAGUGCCCCGCCUGGGGAGUACGGCCGCAAGGUUGAA
This 330-nucleotide ribosomal RNA is filed under the name uncultured bacterium. Its description in RNAcentral is "bacterial SSU rRNA". It matches the Rfam family "Bacterial small subunit ribosomal RNA", at positions 568 to 898 of the family's 1533-position model. The record is from RNAcentral.